This 248-nucleotide ribosomal RNA is filed under the name uncultured bacterium. RNAcentral describes it as "partial 16S ribosomal RNA". It matches the Rfam family "Bacterial small subunit ribosomal RNA", at positions 15 to 244 of the family's 1533-position model. The record is from RNAcentral.
GAUCCUGGCUCAGGACGAACGCUGGCGGCGUGCCUAACACAUGCAAGUCGAACGAAGCACUGUGGAUAGAGACUUCGGUCAAUUGAAGCUUUGACUUAGUGGCGGACGGGUGAGUAACGCGUGAGGAACCUGCCUUUCAGUGGGGGACAACAGUUGGAAACGACUGCUAAUACCGCAUAAUGUGUUUUGGGGGCAUCCCCGGGAACACCAAAGAUUUAUUGCUGAAAGAUGGCCUCGCGUCUGAUUAG